AUUGAACGCUGGCGGCAGGCCUAACACAUGCAAGUCGAACGGUAACAGGAAGAAGCUUGCUUCUUUGCUGACGAGUGGCGGACGGGUGAGUAAUGUCUGGGAAACUGCCUGAUGGAGGGGGAUAACUACUGGAAACGGUAGCUAAUACCGCAUAACGUCGCAAGACCAAAGAGGGGGACCUUCGGGCCUCUUGCCAUCGGAUGUGCCCAGAUGGGAUUAGCUAGUAGGUGGGGUAACGGCUCACCUAGGCGACGAUCCCUAGCUGGUCUGAGAGGAUGACCAGCCACACUGGAACUGAGACACGGUCCAGACUCCUACGGGAGGCAGCAGUGGGGAAUAUUGCACAAUGGGCGCAAGCCUGAUGCAGCCAUGCCGCGUGUAUGAAGAAGGCCUUCGGGUUGUAAAGUACUUUCAGCGGGGAGGAAGGGAGUAAAGUUAAUACCUUUGCUCAUUGACGUUACCCGCAGAAGAAGCACCGGCUAACUCCGUGCCCGCAGCCGCGGUAAUACGGAAGGUGCAAGCGGUAAUCGGAAUUACUGGGCGUAAAGCGCACGCAGGCGGUUUGUUAGUCAGAUGUGAAAUCCCCGGGCUCAACCUGGGAACUGCAUCUGAUACUGGCAAGCUUGAGUCUCGUAGAGGGGGGUAGAAUUCCAGGUGUAGCGGUGAAAUGCGUAGAGAUCUGGAGGAAUACCGGUGGCGAAGGCGGCCCCCUGGACGAAGACUGACGCUCAGGUGCGAAAGCGUGGGGAGCAAACAGGAUUAGAUACCCUGGUAGUCCACGCCGUAAACGAUGUCGACUUGGAGGUUGUGCCCUUGAGGCGUGGCUUCCGGAGCUAACGCGUUAAGUCGACCGCCUGGGGAGUACGGCCGCAAGGUUAAAACUCAAAUGAAUUGACGGGGGCCCGCACAAGCGGUGGAGCAUGUGGUUUAAUUCGAUGCAACGCGAAGAACCUUACCUGGUCUUGACAUCCACAGAACUUUCCAGAGAUGGAUUGGUGCCUUCGGGAACUGUGAGACAGGUGCUGCAUGGCUGUCGUCAGCUCGUGUUGUGAAAUGUUGGGUUAAGUCCCGCAACGAGCGCAACCCUUAUCUUUUGUUGCCAGCGGUCCGGCCGGGAACUCAAAGGAGACUGCCAGUGAUAAACUGGAGGAAGGUGGGGAUGACGUCAAGUCAUCAUGGCCCUUACGACCAGGGCUACACACGUGCUACAAUGGCGCAUACAAAGAGAAGCGACCUCGCGAGAGCAAGCGGACCUCAUAAAGUGCGUCGUAGUCCGGAUUGGAGUCUGCAACUCGACUCCAUGAAGUCGGAAUCGCUAGUAAUCGUGGAUCAGAAUGCCACGGUGAAUACGUUCCCGGGCCU
Molecule: ribosomal RNA, 1362 nt
Filed under: uncultured bacterium
Lineage: Bacteria
Description: bacterial SSU rRNA
Rfam family: Bacterial small subunit ribosomal RNA
Source: RNAcentral